This 667-nucleotide ribosomal RNA is filed under the name Inocybe sp. Its description in RNAcentral is "LSU rRNA". It matches the Rfam family "Eukaryotic large subunit ribosomal RNA", at positions 73 to 721 of the family's 3401-position model. The record is from RNAcentral. Lineage: Eukaryota; Fungi; Basidiomycota; Agaricomycetes; Agaricales; Inocybaceae.
GAUUCCCUUAGUAACUGCGAGUGAAGUGGGAAAAGCUCAAAUUUGGAAUCUGGCAGUCCUUGGCUGUCCGAAUUGUAAUCUAGAGAAGUGUUACCUGUGCUGGACCGUGUAAAAGUCUUCUGGAAUGGAGCAUCACAGAGGGUGAGAAUCCCGUCUUUGACAUGGACUGCCAGUGCAUAAUGGUGUGCUCUCAAAGAGUCGAGUUGUUUGGGAAUGCAGCUCAAAAUGGGUGGUAAAUGCCAUCUAAAGCUAAAUAUUGGCGAGAGACCGAUAGUGAACAAGUACCGUGAGGGAAAGAUGAAAAGAACUUUGGAAAGAGAGUUAAACAGUAUGUGAAAUUGCUGAAAGGGAAACGCUUGAAGUCAGUCGUGUUGGCUGGAAAUCAGCCUUGCUUUUGCGUGGUGUAUUUUCUUGUCGACAGGUCAGCAUCAAUUUUGAUCGUUGGACAAAGUCUUUGGGAAUGUGGCAUCUUUUUGGAUGUGUUAUAGCCCAUUGUCGUAUACAGCGAUGGAGAUUGAGGAACUCAGCACACCGCGAGGCCGGGUCUCUUGACCACGUUUGUGCUUAGGAUGCUGACAUAAUGGCUUUAAUCGACCCGUCUUGAAACACGGACCAAGGAGUCUAACAUGCCUGCAAGUGUUUGGGUGGAAAACCCAUGCGCGCAAUG